GGGGGCCCGCACAAGCGGUGGAGCAUGUGGUUUAAUUCGACGCAACGCGAAGAACCUUACCUGGCCUUGACAUGUUGGGAACUUUCCAGAGAUGGGUUGGUGCUUCGGGAACCCAAACACAGGUGCUGCAUGGCCGUCGUCAGCUCGUGUCGUGAGAUGUUGGGUUAAGUCCCGUAACGAGCGCAACCCUUAUCCCUAGUUGCCAGCACAUUAUGGUGGGAACUCUAGGGAGACUGCCGGUGACAAACCGGAGGAAGGUGGGGAUGACGUCAGGUCAUCAUGGCCCUUACGGCCAGGGCUACACACGUGCUACAAUGGCGCGCACAGAGGGCUGCAAACCCGCGAGGGGGAGCUAAUCUCACAAAACGCGUCGUAGUCCGGAUCGCAGUCUGCAACUCGACUGCGUGAAGUCGGAAUCGCUAGUAAUCGUGAAUCAGAAUGUCACGGUGAAUACGUUCCCGGGCCUU
Molecule: ribosomal RNA, 467 nt
Filed under: uncultured Marinobacter sp.
Lineage: Bacteria; Pseudomonadati; Pseudomonadota; Gammaproteobacteria; Pseudomonadales; Marinobacteraceae
Description: bacterial SSU rRNA
Rfam family: Bacterial small subunit ribosomal RNA
Source: RNAcentral